RNAcentral lists this ribosomal RNA (439 nucleotides) under uncultured bacterium. Its description in RNAcentral is "partial 16S ribosomal RNA". It matches the Rfam family "Bacterial small subunit ribosomal RNA", at positions 339 to 795 of the family's 1533-position model. The record is from RNAcentral.
CUACGGGGGGCUCCAGUGAGGAAUAUUGCACAAUGGGGGGAACCCUGAUGCAGCAACGCCGCGUGGAGGAUGACGCAUUUCGGUGUGUAAACUCCUUUUAUAUGUCAAGAAAAUGACGGUAGCAUAUGAAUAAGCACCGGCUAACUCCGUGCCAGCAGCCGCGGUAAUACGGAGGGUGCAAGCGUUACUCGGAAUCACUGGGCGUAAAGGACGCGUAGGCGGGUUGGAAAGUCAGGUGUGAAAUCCUACAGCUUAACUGUACAACUGCACUUGAAACUUCUAAUCUAGAGUAUGGGAGGGGGAGAUGGAAUUAGUGGUGUAGGGGUAAAAUCCGUAGAUAUCUCUAGGAAUACCUAAAGCGAAGGCGAUCUCCUGGAACAUUACUGACGCUAAGGCGUGAAAGCGUGGGGAGCAAACAGGAUUAGAUACCCCAGUAGUC